Arachis duranensis is the source of this 1544-nucleotide long non-coding RNA. RefSeq lists it as uncharacterized. The transcript has 5 exons. The record is from RefSeq and is a predicted model, not a curated record. Lineage: Eukaryota; Viridiplantae; Streptophyta; Magnoliopsida; Fabales; Fabaceae.
ACCCUUCCCUCUUUCUUUCUCUCUCAAAUUGAAAAUCCCCUUCUGAAGAACCCUAACCCUAUUAGAGGAAAUCACCAAAGCAACGUAGCCACCAUCAACCCCCACCGCUAUUGACGUCAGCGGUGACAACUCGAAGGUUUGCUCUUCUCGCCGUAUCGCCAGAAGGUCGGUUCGGAGCUACUGUUGGCGUCUCUAUCCUCGUCGUCGUCGCCUAUGUCUUCGUUGUCAUUGCAUCGCCGUCCUCGUUGUCGUGGAGCCCAGACCAUCGUGUCCAUCGUUGUCGAGCCCAUGUUCGAGCCAUUACUCUGUCUCACCCUUAUUGCGAAUGUCUCUCCUCAUCGUCACCUCUGUUCCACUGCUCGAUCCUCGUCUCUGUCUCGCCGUUCCUCCGUCGCCGUCAACUUGGUUCUUCCCUUGCUAGCAACAUGACGAUAGGUAACAGAGGUAAAUGGAGUGGGUCUCGUAGUUGUGGAAGAGGGAGGGCUUCCACCAAAUCUCCAGGGAUUAUUCAGUCAUCGCCCUCUACCCCGACUACUCCGUCGACCGCUGCGACGUCACAGGCGGGUCUAGCAGACCAACAGUUUAUCAUGGUCCCAAACCCAAACUACGUGCCUUCCUCUGCUACGUGGCCCCCAGCAGGAUGCCCCUUCACCACUGUCCAUCAUCUGACUGAGGAUUUGGCCCGAUGGCAUACAUGUGUUUGCACUUAACAACAAUGCUUGCACACAUGAGAUCGCUGAAGUCAUUAAGUUAAUGUACGACCACCCGUGGCUGAGUUUAAAUUCAUAUGGGAUGCAGAACAUAAUCUCAUGAUCAGAAAGAUCUAUGACCACUGGGAAGCUACACGGAUUCAGUAGAUGAUGAGCGACGUUCGUUAGGGGCACGACCACCUAACGACUUGGAUCCAUCCAGCCAUCAAGAAAGAACUGGAGGCCCAUUUUAGAGAUGAUGAGGGGUUCAAGCGUCGCCGUCUGAUAAACGUCCCUAACAGGACUUUUCCCAGGUCGUCGAAGUAUAUGGGUAGAUCGGCGACCUUCAUGAAGACGAAGAGCAGACUGGUCAUUGGAUCGUUAGAUGACACUGGCGGAGACCUUCAAGUAUACCCAUACUUUCAUUGUUGGCCGAGAUCGCUGCUCUUAAGCGAUUGAUUAAGCUUUCUAUUUGUCACUUCUCUAUCGGGUUACUUUUUUAUUUUUCUGCUAAUGGAAAAAUGUGCUUACUUUAAGCCACUUUAGUUAUAAAAAUUCUAAGUUUGAAUAGAAAAAACUAGCUUAGGGAAUUUUACUAUUGUGGUGGGUCGAUUCAACUUGAGGCAGAGCAUUUUAAUCAAGUGAAUCAAUGAAUACUUUGUUUUCUUUUACUUAGUCGUGGUUUUAGACUCGAAUGGUAGUUAAUUUUGGGUAUUAAUAAUGUCAAGGUUCAUUGUUCCUAAGUGUUAAGUUUGGUGCUAAUAAUUUUCUUUUGUUAAUAUCUUCGAAAAUUGGAUGCUUAAAGAAUCUGGAGUAUCUUGACCUUUCAUUCAAUAAAUUGAAGAAAUUGAAGAU